This 474-nucleotide ribosomal RNA is filed under the name Streptococcus sp. oral taxon C08. Its description in RNAcentral is "bacterial SSU rRNA". It matches the Rfam family "Bacterial small subunit ribosomal RNA", at positions 28 to 485 of the family's 1533-position model. The record is from RNAcentral. Lineage: Bacteria; Bacillati; Bacillota; Bacilli; Lactobacillales; Streptococcaceae.
GACGAACGCUGGCGGCGUGCCUAAUACAUGCAAGUAGAACGCUGAAGCUUGGUGCUUGCACCGAGCGGAUGAGUUGCGAACGGGUGAGUAACGCGUAGGUAACCUGCCUGGUAGCGGGGGAUAACUAUUGGAAACGAUAGCUAAUACCGCAUAAGAGUAGAUGUUGCAUGACAUUUGCUUAAAAGGUGCAAUUGCAUCACUACCAGAUGGACCUGCGUUGUAUUAGCUAGUUGGUGAGGUAACGGCUCACCAAGGCGACGAUACAUAGCCGACCUGAGAGGGUGAUCGGCCACACUGGGACUGAGACACGGCCCAGACUCCUACGGGAGGCAGCAGUAGGGAAUCUUCGGCAAUGGACGGAAGUCUGACCGAGCAACGCCGCGUGAGUGAAGAAGGUUUUCGGAUCGUAAAGCUCUGUUGUAAGAGAAGAACGAGUGUGAGAGUGGAAGGUUCACACUGUGACGGUAUCUACCA